Molecule: ribosomal RNA, 568 nt
Filed under: uncultured bacterium
Lineage: Bacteria
Description: partial 16S ribosomal RNA
Rfam family: Bacterial small subunit ribosomal RNA
Source: RNAcentral
UGGGGAAUAUUGCACAAUGGGCGCAAGCCUGAUGCAGCCAUGCCGCGUGUGUGAAGAAGGCCUUCGGGUUGUAAAGCACUUUCAGCGAGGAGGAAGGUGGUGAGCUUAAUACGCUCAUCAAUUGACGUUACUCGCAGAAGAAGCACUGGCUAACUCCGUGCCAGCAGCCGCGGUAAUACGGAGGGUGCAAGCGUUAAUCGGAAUUACUGGGCGUAAAGCGCACGCAGGCGGUUUGUUAAGUCAGNUGUGAAAUCCCCGGGCUCAACCUGGGAACUGCAUUUGAAACUGGCAAGCUAGAGUCUCGUAGAGGGGGGUAGAAUUCCAGGUGUAGCGGUGAAAUGCGUAGAGAUCUGGAGGAAUACCGGUGGCGAAGGCGGCCCCCUGGACGAAGACUGACGCUCAGGUGCGAAAGCGUGGGGCAGCAAACAGGAUUAGAUACCCUGGUAGUCCACGCUGUAAACGAUGUCGAUUUGGAGGUUGUGCCCCUUGAGGCGUGGGCUUCCGGAGCUAACGCGUUAAAGUCGACCGCCUGGGGAGUACGGCCNCAAGGUUAAAACUUAAAUGAAUU